AGUGGUGCUUCAUGCUCGUCUGAUUGUCGUGUUGUGAGAUGUGUAGAGCGACGUUUCGGUAAUCGUAGGGAAAAGGAAAACCCGUGUUUUAUCAAAAAAAUGUACACAACUCAAAUCUAAAGUGAUUUUCUAAGUGAGUGUUAGUUGUAAAAUUAUGUGCGUUGAUUAGUGGUAGACAUGUUUCGGUGCAUACCCAUUUUUAAAGGCUGUAACAGGCAAGUGGAAACUGUUGAUAAGAGACAUUGUUCUUUAAUAAAUGUUCCCGAGGAGAUAUUAAGGUAUUCUAGGAGCCUAGAAGAGCUACUUUUAGACUCCAAUAGGAUACAAGUUCUUCCGAAGAACUUCUUUAGACUUCAUAGACUCCGCAAACUCGGUCUAAGCGAUAAUGAAAUCAACAACUUGCCGCCAGAUAUUCAAAAUUUCGAACAUCUCGUGGAAUUGGACGUCUCCAGAAAUGAUAUCCCUGACAUCCCCGAAAGCAUCGGCCAGCUGCGUUCCCUCCGAGUCGCAGACUUCAGUUCCAAUCCCAUACCUCGUCUUCCGCCGGCCUUCAUCCACCUCAAGUCACUCAGCGUGUUGGGCCUCAACGAUAUGUCGCUCACGUCGCUGCCUCAGGAUUUCGGCCAACUUAAGUCCCUCACGUCGCUCGAACUUAGAGAAAAUCUGCUCAAGGAAUUGCCCGCUUCUCUGUCGAAGUUGACCAACCUCGAAAGACUUGAUUUAGGCGAUAAUGAAAUUGAAGAAUUGCCAUCACACAUAGGAAAACUGCCAGCACUUCAAGAACUAUGGUUAGACCACAAUCAAUUACAAAGUCUCCCUCCAGAAAUAGGCCAACUGAGCAACCUAACAUGCCUAGAUCUAUCCGAAAAUCGCCUAGAGUAUCUUCCAGAAGAUAUUGCGGGCUUGGAAAGCCUAACUGACUUACAUUUAUCCCAAAAUGUAUUAGAAACUCUGCCCGACGGCAUAGGAAAGUUAGAAAAACUUACCAUCUUGAAGGUAGACCAAAAUAGACUAACAUCUUUAAAUUCUAACGUAGGCUAUUGCCACAAUCUACAAGAACUGAUCCUCACAGAGAACUUUUUAAGCGAAUUACCCGUAGAAGUUGGAAAAUUAAUCAAACUGACGAACUUGAACGUCGAUAGGAAUAGUCUUACUUUGGUACCCGAAGACAUAGGCAAUCUCUGCGAGCUAGGCGUGUUGAGUUUGAGAGAUAACAGACUUACUAUGUUGCCGGACACUCUCGGCAACUGCCGAAGACUCCACGUGUUGGACGUUUCUGGAAACAGACUGCCUUAUCUACCCUAUACGCUUCUUCAGUUGAGCUUGAAGGCUGUUUGGCUGAGCGAAAACCAGGCACAAUCUCUACUCACCUUCCAAACUGACACUGACCCGGAUACGGGUAAGACCGUACUGACGUGUUUCCUGUUGCCACAACAAGAAUACCAACCUACGAUAGCUUCCGACGGCCGCUUUUACCACCAUCACGAUCAUGAGCUAACGCCAGGUCUUUCUAAUGGUAGUACCUUGUCCCGUACAGAUGGCGCUGCGACCGAGGACGAAGACGACGACGACUGGCGGGAACACGAAGCCAGCCGAACACACUCCGUCAAAUUCACCGAUCCGCAAGAGAAGGACAAUCGAGAGACUCCAUUUGUCAGGCACAACACUCCUCAUCCGAAAGAGUUAAAGGCUAAGGCCCAUAAACUUUUCGGAAAAGGUCAAAAUUCACUAGAGGAAAGCGAACAACAUUCCAACGACAACAGUGCAAACACGCCCGAGGCCCUCAAUCUACAUGUAAAGCAGGUUCCUGAAUCGCCACAGAUAAUUGAACCUCCUCCAACUCGGACCGACUCUGCAGUAGGUAAUGGACAAGUGGAGGAAAGUGAGCAUAGCCAUGAUGAACAUGAUGAAGACACGGAUGAGGACCACGUGACUCUUCGCCGAGUCGGAUUCGUCGGGGGCGUGUCUUCGUCGUCGGACGAACGAGACUCGUCGUCGAAACCGAGUCGACUGCACAGGCGCGACACCCCCCACCAUCUCAAGAACAAACGAAUCACGUCGGUGACCAUCGACAAAGACAAGGUGGCUUCGAUUAUUGCACAGGCCCUUAAAAGGAAAGAAGACGAAAGUGACAGGACGAGUGGCGUUUCGACCCCUCCAGGCUCAGUCUCCGGAGGCGAUCGUAGUUGUUCUUCAAGUCAAGCUGGUGAUUCAGAUGCAGCAGUAGAACUCAGAGAAGAAAAAUAUGAAAUCCACAUUGAACGCUCCCAAACUGGAUUAGGGCUAUCGAUAGCAGGCGGGCACGGCUCAACUCCUUUCAAGGGCGAUGACGAAGGCAUCUUCAUUUCCAGAGUAACCGAAGGUGGUCCGGCCGAUCUAGCAGGAUUAAGAGUAGGAGAUAAAGUCAUAACCGUCAAUAGAGUCAACGUCGUUGACGUCAGUCACUACGAUGCAGUAGAAGUCUUGAAAGCAUCAGGUCCUGUGUUGAUUCUAGAAGUAACCCGAGAAGUUACCAGGUUGGUUAAGCCUCCGAACACGAUGGUAGCAACUAAGCACAGUCCAACACCUUCUCUUACGAAUACGUUGAACAAAAGCGCAAUACCCCCUCCAUUGCCUCCUCAAUUGGAAGAAGAGGUGCCCUUACAAAAAGUAUUAGUCCAUACAACAUUAAUUAGAGACUCAAAAGGUCUCGGUUUUAGUAUAGCAGGAGGCAAAGGCUCCCAACCCUUUAAGGCUGACAAUGACGCCAUCUACAUAUCACGCAUUACCGACGGAGGAGUCGCCGAUAGAGACGCGAAGCUCUCUGUAGGCGAUAAAGUAAUAUCAAUAAACGGCGUCGACUUAACGGGGGCCUCCCACGAUCAAACCGUAAGCAUGCUUACGGGAUUGGAAAGAUUCGUGAGACUGGUGGUUGAGAGGGAAGUGCCUCUGGAGAAAAACGGCGACGAGGCUAGUCCGGGACCUCAGCAAAGUCCGAGGUUGUUUGGAUUGCCCAAGCCGUAUACGGGACUGUAUGCUGCUAAUAGUUACAUGGCUAACCGACCUGGUUACGCGGGGUAUCGAAGAUCGAUGGAACUUGAUAAAAAGACUUCUGAAUCUCCAGAGCCAGUAAAGCCUCCAACGCCCACCCAGGUGUUACAAGAAACGCCCAAAACAAACGGAAUAGACCACAGCUCGACGAGAGAAGUACCCAAGCCAGCGCCGCGUCGUAUCAACUCUACUUCCAGCGAUUCGUCCACGGCACCAAUCAAUCCUACAGCUCAAACCGCUUCCAGCGCCAAGCCACAAACCAACCACAAGAAAACCUCUUCGAAUUCCUCCCUCGAGGAUGACACCCAGGUAUUUGCGAGGCCCAUCACAAGCGAAGAGUUCCAGGCGAUGAUACCGCCCCAUUUCCUUAAACAGCCCCCUCCCGCCAAAACCUCCCCCACCCCCACCGCGACUACUCCUACCGGGUAUGAUAGUCACGCGAAUUCCGUCACGACGGUCACGAUAAAACGACCGGAACCGCCUAUCGAGCUGCCCCCCUCGCCGAAGGGGCCGGGGCGAGUCACCGAGACCAUUACCAAGAGUACCUUUACCGAAACUGUGGUCACUAGGAUAACGGACAAUAAGUUGGUAGAGCCACUGAUUAUAGAGGACGUUACGUUAAGUAAAUUAGGAGGAUCCUUAGGUUUCAGUAUUAUAGGAGGUACAGAUCAUUCCAGUAUUCCAUUCGGAUCCAAGGAACCGGGAAUUUUCAUCUCACAUUUGGUUCCUGGUGGUAUAGCUGCUAAAAGUGGUAAACUCAAAGUUGGUGACAGAAUUUUAAAAGUCAAUGGCACAGACGUCACUCAUGCUACCCAUCAAGAAGCUGUUAUGGAGCUUCUAAGACCUGGAGAUCAAAUUUCGCUUACAAUUAGGCACGAUCCAUUGCCCGAAGGAUAUCAGGAAUUGUUUAUUGAAAAAACAGAUAACGAAAAACUUGGCAUGCACAUAAAGGGCGGUCUUCAGGGUCAGCGAGGUAAUCCUCUGGACAGAUCGGACGAAGGUAUUUUCGUAUCGAAAAUCAACUCUGUGGGGGCAGCAAGGCGAGAUGGAAGACUCAAAGCUGGCAUGAGAUUAUUAGAAGUUAAUGGAAAAUCAUUAUUAGGUGCAACUCAUCAGGAAGCUGUUAAUGCUUUAAGAGCUUGCGGAAACAUGAUUCACAUGGUAGUUUGCAAAGGAUAUGAUAAAGGUGAUAUAGACAGAGCAGUCCAUGAGGGCAGAUUGACAAGAGGAGGGUCCGUUAGCAGUCGUUCGCAGAGCGUUAGCUCUUUAGACGUACCAGAAGACGACCUACAGGACUUGAAAGUAAAAUCUGAAUUGCUUCAGUUGGAAAAGGAUGAAGUUGAGAAGCGAUUACAGCCGAUCCAUCAAGAAGAAGAGGAAUUUUCUUUAGUAGAAGCAAAACCACCUUCUCCUGCGGAUAAGGUUUUAGACGUGGUAAGAGCAGUAGAGACUCUAGCACACGGUCCGAUGGAAAAUUCAGUUCCUCCAAAGUCUCCAAAUUCGGAACUAAAAACUACUACGAUAGUUAUGAGCAAACAUACGCUAGCACCUCAACCUACCACUGACGAGCUAAUGCAUGUCUCUACGCUACCGAAAACGACACAGCCUAAAGUGGAUGUGGAAACAGAAAGCAAAAGUCACUCUAUUGACAAUGAACAGCAUGCUUCCGUCACUAAAGAUACUGAUAACGAUUCUUUACAAAACGUGAUCCCACCUCCUUCCAUCUAUUCUGAAUGUGAACCUAACAAUAAUGUAUCUAAUAUGUACUUUAACAAUCAACAUGUACCUACCAAUGUAACAUACUCGAUACCUCAACCGGUAGUUACUAGUGACUUUAAUUCCAACACGUUUUCGUUCAACGUUCCACCUAAUGAGAAUCAGUUCCAUAUUAACGUCUACAACACUAUACCUCAGCUACAACCACAAGCAUUUAGAUAUGAUUACGUUCCUAAUUUUACUGAUAUACCAAUCGUUCCUUCUCCUGAUUCUAGUCUUACAUAUAUGCUUGAAGAUUCUCAAAUUAUCAAAGUUCCACCGCCCCCUCCUAUGGACUUCGACGAUUAUUCCAUAAAAUCCGAUUCACCUCCUCCUUUACCAUCCACUUCCCCUCCUCCCCUGCCAAAAUCUCCACUACCUACAGAAGACGACGACAUUGUAUCCACAACCGAAAAAGUUCUGGAAACUUCAGUUCAAGUCUCAACAACUACAACCAUAAAUCCAACUAAUAAACAUCAUGUAACUAUUACAGAAGAAGAAGAAGUUACAGAGUAUACAGAACCACCUAUAGGAGCGCUGAAGAAAAUUGUAGCCAGCUUAAGAGACGACAUCGUAGCUCAUACCACUGUUCCAGGAGAUGUAGAGGUUUGUGUUACCGCUCCAACAGUAGUGCAAACACAAGUCAGUAGAACAGUUGAUUUGUCUUCUCCAACAAUAGAAAAUACUGAUAAACAAAUCAGUCAACUUUGUACAAAUAUACACGAUGCUUUGCAGGCAGCUACUAAUAUAGAUCGAACAAUAGAACAAACUAACAGAAUGUUUGUAACUAGUUUGACCGAAACAGAUCGGAUUAUUUCUUCUAAAAAACAUGUAUCAUAUCUAACUGAUGACUCAGACAACAUCGAAGUAUCUAUCAUCCCUUCAGACCAAGGAAUGUUAAGGAAACCAAAAGAUGAUCAAUUAAAACCAAACAACGAAUCAGAAUCGAUCAAUAGGAAAUUUGUAAGAAGUUGGGUAGAAACGGAAGAAAGGACGUCUUCACUUCCAGCAAGAAAACUUGUCACUAGCUUGAUAAUCGAUACACCCUCAAACGAAAAGCAACAAGUGCAAUAUUCCCAAAUCAUAGCACCUACACCAUUCAAAAUAACAAAACAAAUUUCCCAAACAUCUGAACCUCGUUCACCUACCACUCCAACCAGACGAAUUGCUCGACCUCAAGUCCCUCCCCCACCAGUACCCAUCGCUAAACUAGCUUCACCUCCCCAAAUUCAAGCCAAGAAAAUUCCACCCCCAGUACCUGCCAAGAUUUCUAAAUUGAACCCUGCUCGCAGUGAAAAUGAUUUAUUAGACCCUGUUGGUUCUGUCAAAAAAAGCAACCAGUCCGCUAGACCUGUUUCUUUUGUAUUUUCUGAUAAAAAGGAUUUGGGAUUCGUUAGCGGAAAUUUAGGGAAGUAUGGUACUGUGGCAAAGCCUCCACAAUCUCCCCAACACAAUGCUCCCAAGCAGUCGGUGAGCGAUAGAAAGAAAUUUUUCGAAUCGGCGAUGGAAGAGAGCCAAAAACCUUCUAAACCAGAAAAAGUCUUUAGCUAUCUUAGUGCGGACGAAUUAGAGAAGUUAAAAGCAGAAGAAGAGAGAAAAAUUGCAACACUUUCAGCUUCCGAUAUUAAUUCCUUACAUUCUUUACACGAAUUGGAUCAUUCUGAUGGAGAAUCAGCUGAAUCACAACGUUCAAGGCCUUCGAGUACUAUCGGUAUAGUACGUACAGCAAAGGCAGAACGACGUCUGAGAGAUCAACUUCGAGAAGAAGGACUUUUGACCGACGAAGACGAUCCUCCCCUCUCACCAGCCGAAGAACGCGCCCUCCGAGCCGAAAAGAGAGCUGCCUGGAGAGCUGCCAGACUCAAGUCCCUCGAACACGAUGCCAUGCAAGCGCAGAUGGUCAUCAAGAGUAUGACGGAUAUUGUUAGAUCCGGGGAAGUACCCAUGCCUAUAACGACAGAAAUUAGUGAUACAGACGGGCUUCCACAAACAAAUGAGUUACGUCCCUCGAGUGCCGAUUUCCCCAAGCUGGCCGUGAGGACGAAACCCGGCAACACGACCGUUAGAGAGAGCGAGAAGGUGUUGGGAGAAACGAUUACGAGAAAGACGGAGGAAUACAUCGACGAAAACGGCGAGAAACGAGUGAGAACUGUGGAGUACGUAGAGAAGCUGAUUGAGAGAGAGGUAUAAGAAAGCAAAAAUUGAUGGCUUAUGAAAUCAGCAUGACUCUCUUUUGUGCACCAUUCUGGUGGAACAAAUCCAAGAAAAAAUCAUAUCACUAGAAUUAACGAAAUACGACGACGUUCUGAAGCCGCAGUCCCUUAAACUAGACCAGGACGAAAA
Molecule: unclassified non-coding RNA, 7128 nt
Filed under: Diabrotica virgifera virgifera (western corn rootworm)
Lineage: Eukaryota; Metazoa; Arthropoda; Insecta; Coleoptera; Chrysomelidae
Description: protein lap4-like
Source: RNAcentral